Molecule: long non-coding RNA, 1997 nt
Filed under: Ananas comosus (pineapple)
Lineage: Eukaryota; Viridiplantae; Streptophyta; Magnoliopsida; Poales; Bromeliaceae
Description: long non-coding RNA (ACOM_LNC010986)
Source: RNAcentral
AAUUAAAAAAAUUUAAAUAUCCUUACAAUAAUCUUUUAAACAAUUCUCGUAUAAGAUUAUCCACUCUAUACCCAUAAAUCAACUAAAAAAACCCCAAAAUUAGAUUCCGAAAAGAAAAAAAUACACAAAUUGUUCUAAGGCUUCCUUUGAUAUUGUAGAGAGAUUGUGUUAUAUGCCAUGAGAAAGUACGUUGAAAAAAUAUUCUAUUUGUUUUCAUACGUAAUAUUGCGUUCCACACAUCACGAUGAGUCGGUUACGUUAUAUUUUCUACGGUCCCAUCGGAAAACACAGAAAUAUAUCUCUAUAUACUUUUACCUGAACUCCAUUUUAUCUAAUAACGUUAGAUGAGCCUCACUACCAAACUAAACCUAAAUAGCGCCGUCUCUAGGAUAUUCUUUACGAAAAUAAAUUCUAUUAAUUAAAGUGUCCACUCCCAGUCACACAUUCAAAAUUUGAUCUUAAUUUUAUACAGCAAGUAGUUGUGUGUGUGACUCCAUUAAUUCCCCUGCAUGCGACGUGGCCGGGGAAAGAGAAUUUUUACGUGAAACUAUCACGGGUGGAAAAACACACGUAUAUAUGUUCUUGAAUCUCAAAUACAUUUUAUGAAUACUAGUUGGGUGUACGUACAAAUACACAUAAUAAUUAUUUUAAUUUAUUUUAAAUUAAUAUAAAAUUGCACAUUAUAUUUAUUUAAAAAUUUAUAAUUUGUAAAUUCAUAUAUUAUAUUUUAUUAGAAAAUAUUUGUAAUAUUCUAUAUUUUUUUAUAUAUAUUAAAUAUUUUUAUAUAUUUUUUGAUUUCUGAUGAUCUAAAAUUUAAAUAUGUGUUUUAAACAAAAAACAUCAAAAAUUAAUUCAUAUUUAUUUCAAAAUUUAAAAUUUAAUUUUCAUCCACUAUAAUUUAAAUUUUUGAAUAAGAAUGCUAUUUUUUACCAAAUUAAUCAUAAUUGUUCGUUUUUAUUUAAGAUUUUUUUAAUUAAGUCAACAGUUCAUUUUUAUUUGACACGACCUUUCGUAGGAUUGGAUUUAUAGAUGGAUAAGAAUUCUAUUUUUUAAUAGAUUAAUCAUAACCGUUCAUUCUUAUUNACUUUAGUACCCUUUAGUUUUAACUUUAUUACUAAUUUAACGAAAAAAAUUAGUGGAAUCGAUAAUAAAAAGAGAAAAUGCGAAACCACAGAAAUAAUAUUUGAAGUUUACCCUGAACCAUUUAAAAAUGUGUUAUAUAUAUAUAUAUAUAUACUAGUUGAAUGUACGUGCAAAUGCACGUAACAAUUAUUAUAAUUUAUUUCAAAUCAAUAUAAAUUGUUACAUGAUCAAAUUUUAAUUUUAAUGUAAAAUAGAUUAAUAGAAAUGUCAUUUUUUAACAAAUUGAUCUUAACCGUUUGUUUUAAUUUGAGAUAUUUUUUAAUAAAUUAAUUAUAAUUGUUCAUAGAAUUGAAUUUAUAGAUGGAUGCCAAUGCUAUUUUUUAAUAGAUUGAUUAUAACUAUUCUUAUUUGAGAUAUUUUUUUAACAAAUUGAUCAUAACCAUUUAUAGAGAAUAGAUUUUUAUAUGUAGUAGAAAUUUAAUAGAUUGAACAUAACCGUUCGUUUUUAUUUGACAUAUUUUUUAACAAAUUAAUUAUAACCAUUCGUAGGGAAUAUUAUUUUAUAUUUAAUAGAUUGAUCAUAACCAUUAAUUUUAUUUGAGAUAUUUUUAACAAAUUUUUAUUUGAGAUAUUUUUAACAAAUUAAUGAUAACCAUUCGUAGGAAAUAUUAUUUUAUAUUUAAUAGAUUGAUUAUAGCUGUUAAUUUUUAUUUGAGAUAUUUUUAAUAAAUUAAUUAUAACCAUUCGUAGGGAAUAUUAUUUUAUUCCUUUUUGAAUUCCGCCUGUCAUUGUCGGAAUUCUUAUACGCUUUUAUAUAUAGUAUAGAUAUAGAUAUAGAUAUAGAUAUAAAUAUAGAUAAUUUGAAACUUUGUUCCUUUAUGAAUAUACUAUCUCAAUUCAAAAUUUCAUCACUU